CAGCAGCCGCGGUAAUACGUAGGGUGCAAGCGUUAAUCGGAAUUACUGGGCGUAAAGCGUGCGCAGGCGGUUUUGUAAGACAGAGGUGAAAUCCCCGGGCUCAACCUGGGAACUGCCUUUGUGACUGCAAGGCUAGAGUACGGCAGAGGGGGAUGGAAUUCCGCGUGUAGCAGUGAAAUGCGUAUAUAUGCGGAGGAACACCGAUGGCGAAGGCAAUCCCCUGGGCCUGUACUGACGCUCAUGCACGAAAGCGUGGGGAGCAAACAGGAUUAGAGACCCCCGUAGUCCCUGUCUCUUAUAC
This 301-nucleotide ribosomal RNA is filed under the name uncultured bacterium. Its description in RNAcentral is "partial 16S ribosomal RNA". It matches the Rfam family "Bacterial small subunit ribosomal RNA", at positions 509 to 807 of the family's 1533-position model. The record is from RNAcentral.